This 337-nucleotide small RNA is filed under the name Arabidopsis thaliana (thale cress). RNAcentral's name for it is "ATSL151470". Lineage: Eukaryota; Viridiplantae; Streptophyta; Magnoliopsida; Brassicales; Brassicaceae. The record is from RNAcentral.
UAUUUUUUUCUAUUGUUUGAAGUGUUAGUUUACCAAUUAAAGUAUUUUUGUUGGUUAUAUUUGCCAAUUCCCCAAGUAUUUAUACCAUUUUCGAAGUUUCGACAUAAGUUAAAAAGGAUAUAAGAACCGGAAAAAUAACGAAAAUCUACAGAAAGAACAGACAAUGACAAAACAACAAAGGAGGAAAACAUAUGUAUAGAGCGAAAACAAAAGAAGAAACACCGAUUCCAAAAUGCCAAACUCGGAAAUUUGCGUGAUUUCCUCCACAACUCCAAGAAGCUGGAGUCUCAUCCUAAGUUGUAUACCUAAUUUGUUUACAGAAGUUAUCUAUGGUGCU